AGUGAACGCUGGCGGUAGGCCUAACACAUGCAAGUCGAACGGCAGCGCAGAGGAGCUUGCUCCUUGGGUGGCGAGUGGCGGACGGGUGAGGAAUACAUCGGAAUCUACUCUGUCGUGGGGGAUAACGUAGGGAAACUUACGCUAAUACCGCAUACGACCUACGGGUGAAAGCAGGGGACCUUCGGGCCUUGCGCGAUUGAAUGAGCCGAUGUCGGAUUAGCUAGUUGGCGGGGUAAAGGCCCACCAAGGCGACGAUCCGUAGCUGGUCUGAGGGGAUGAGCAGCCACACGGGAACGGAGACACGGUCCAGACUCCUACGGGAGUCAGCAGUGGGGAAUAUUGGACAAUGGGCGCAAGCCUGAUCCAGCCAUACCGCGUGGGUGAAGAAGGCCUUCGGGUUGUAAAGCCCUUUUGUUGGGAAAGAAAUCCAGCUGGCUAAUACCCGGUUGGGAUGACGGUACCCAAAGAAUAAGCACCGGCUAACUUCGUGCCAGCCGCCGCCGUAA
Molecule: ribosomal RNA, 506 nt
Filed under: uncultured bacterium
Lineage: Bacteria
Description: partial 16S ribosomal RNA
Rfam family: Bacterial small subunit ribosomal RNA
Source: RNAcentral